AACGCUGGCCUCUUUCCUAAUACAUGCAAGUCGAGCGAACCGAUAAGGAGCUUGCUCCUUUGCCGUUAGCGGCGGACGGGUGGGUAACACGUGGGUAACCUACCUAUAAGACUGGGAUAACAUCGGGAAACCGGAGCUAAUACCGGAUAACAUUUGGAACCGCAUGGUUCUAAAGUGAAAGAUGGGUUUUCUAUCACUUAUAUAUGGACCCGCGCCGUAUUAGCUAGUUGGUAAGGUAACGGCUUACCAAGGCGACGAUACGUAGCCGACCUGAGAGGGUGAUCGGCCACACUGGAACUGAGACACGGUCCAGACUCCUACGGGAGGCAGCAGUAGGAAAUCUUCCGCAAUGGGCGAAAGCCUGCCGGAGCAACGCCGCGUGAGUGAUGAAGGGUUUCGGCUCGUAAAACUCUGUUAUUAGGGAAGAACAAACGGGUAAGUAACUGUGCACGUCUUGACGGUACCUAAUCAGAAAGCCACGGCUAACUACGUG
This 493-nucleotide ribosomal RNA is filed under the name uncultured bacterium. Its description in RNAcentral is "partial 16S ribosomal RNA". It matches the Rfam family "Bacterial small subunit ribosomal RNA", at positions 32 to 507 of the family's 1533-position model. The record is from RNAcentral.